This 35722-nucleotide long non-coding RNA is filed under the name Vitis vinifera (wine grape). Its description in RNAcentral is "long non-coding RNA (VVIN_LNC004607)". The record is from RNAcentral. Lineage: Eukaryota; Viridiplantae; Streptophyta; Magnoliopsida; Vitales; Vitaceae.
AGCCACCGUUUUUAGUGAGAAAGAAGAGAAGAGAGAAAAAUGCAAGUUUUUCUCAUCAUGCCCAGAUUUCAUCAAAGGUUUGAUCCCACUUCGUCCGUGGUCCGAUCAAGCUGAAAUUUGGAGGAGAGUUUCGUGACUCAUUUAUCUUCAAUCUGAACGGUGAAGAUCGGAUUUGGAGUUUCGGAAAGUCAUUAGAAAGAAAGAGGAGAAGAGAGAAAAACGUAGGUUUUUCUCAUCAUGCCCAGAUUUCAUCAAAUGUCCGAUCCCGCUUCGUCCGUGGUCCGAUCGAGUUGAAAUUUGAAGGAGAGGUUCGUGGCUCAUGUAUCUUCAAUAUGAACGGUGGAGAUCAGAUUUGGAGUUUCGGACAGUCAUUAGAGAGAAAGAGGAGAAGAGAGAAAAACGUAGGUUUUUCUCAUCAUGCCCAGAUUUCAUCAAAUGUCCGAUCCCACUUUGUCCGUGGUCCGAUCGAGUUGAAAUUUGAAGGAGAGGUUCGUGGCUCAUGUAUCUUCAAUAUGAACGGUGGAGAUUGGAUUUGGAGUUUCGGACAGUCAUUAGAGGGAAAGAGGAGAAGAGAGAAAAAUAGUGGUUUUUUACAUCAUGCCCAGAUUUCAUCAAAGGUCCGAUGCCGCUUUUUUCAUGGUCUGAUUGAGCUGAAAUUUGGAGGAGAGGUUUAUAAGUCAUUAAUAUUAAAUUUGAACGGUGAAGAUCGGAUUUAGAGUUUUGGAAAGUCAUCUUUCAGCCAAAAACAAAACAUUUAUUUUAUCAAAGAUGGCGUUUCCUGAAAGUGUCAUUGUUGCCUAAGACAUACAAUGACAGAGGCGAAGAGAACGCUUUAGAGAAGCGUCAUCUGUUACCUUUCUUGACGCUUAAAAAACGUCAUUGUUUCCCAUUUUUCUUGUAGUUUAAGGUACUAAAAUACAAAAAUUUUGAUCAAAGUACAAGAAUGCUACUGAAAUAUGAGAAAUAUGACUAUUUGAAAAAUAUGAACAUGGUAUGAAUAAUGUAACUAGAAUAUAUAUGAAGAAUGCUAUCAAAGUACAAUAAACAUGACCAAAGUACUAAGAUAUAAAAUUUAUGAUUUAGAUAUUAAAAUUGUAAUUAUGGUACAAAAAGUAUAAGUAGGAUAUGAGGAUUGUGAUCGAGAUACAAAAAUGAUAUUAAGAUAUGAAAAAUAUAGCCAAAAUACUAAAAUAUGAAAACUAUGAGCUAGAUGUGAAGAAUAUAACUAAGUCAUAGGAAAUGUGAUUAAAAUACCAAGAAUAUGAGUAUCAAAAAUGUAAUUGGGAUGUGAAAAAUGUCUCAAUGCCUAUACAUUAAAUAAAAGAAAUAAUUAUGUAAAAUAGCAUAAAAUAAAUAAAUAAGAAAACACUACAUCAAGAGAAUGGGAUCUCCAAUGUAUUUUUUAUCUUCUUCACCACACAAAGGAAAUUCAGCUUAACAUAACUAAUUACAAAAUUAUAGAAUAUAAAUGAGAUUAAUUAAUUUUUAAUCUUCUUUAUUAUCUUUAAUUACUAAUCAAGUUCCCAAUUUGCAUUUAAAAAAUAUCUUAAUGACCAAAUAAAGAAGAGUUUAAAAAUUUUUGUUUUUAUGCAACACAUGUCUUGUGGUUGCAUUCCUCUCUUUCAAUAAGUUUUAUUUUAUUUAAUUUUUUUUAUUUUUAUUACCUUUCAAUAUACAUGAGAUAAGAUAUUAUUGGUGAAAGUACAUACGAUAUUAAAGAAUCACGCAUUGAUACCAAAGUUUGACCUCAACAUUGACUCAUUGUGGUAUGUAUAUUUAUAGUGCAAUCGGAAGCAGUGAUUUUUGUGAAUUGAUAUAAAACAAACCGGAUAAAAGAGAUUUUCCAAAGUUUGAUUAUCACAAGUGACUAAUUUAGAGAUACAAGUAGUCGAAUUCAGUAGAACUAACUAACUAAUCUCCAUCCUCUUACAGCUCCAAUUCCUACCAAACAUGGAACUUGUGGUGGGGCCAGAGCCCCUUUCAAUUAUUGAAUGAUCUCAUUCAAUUCUGACAGCACAACAAGCUCCACAUUCCAAACCCUCGCCAACACCUUUCCUCGAAACGAUAUAAGCAACUACAUGACUUGUAAACAAAUACCUACUUUCUAUCUUUAUAACGUGUUACUCCACAUUUCCACAAAACCUCAAGCCCUAUAUCCAUGGAGAGAAGGAAAUCCAGAGUCAGCCUCGACCCUUUAGCCACGGUGAAAGCGGCUGCAUGGGCUUGGUAUCAGCGUGGAUCAGGGUCUGAAGGCAAACCCAUAAGCGAGUUCCAGGUCACCAGGGCUCGUCCUGCUCCCAUACCCUCACGGUACAAGCUAGAAGCCAUGAGAAUGGCUGAAGAAGGUCCAGAGAAGGAGGGCUCAAGCGCAAGUUCCGCUACCUCUACUCCAAAUCUUAGCCAUACUUCUCUUCUUGAUACGUACGAAAUAGAAAGAAUCUCUCAGCAGCUUGAUAUUCUCAUAGAAACAAGCGGCAAAGGCAUCAGAACUGGCACCAACUUGUACAAAGGAAGCGGCACAAAUUCGAGGAAGGAGAAGAAGAAAUUGAAAGGGUUUUGGGCAAGGCAUGCGAUUGUGUGUGGCACAGAGGACGAUGUGUUGGAGACAAUAAGAGUUUCGGGGGGCGAUCGGAAGAGCAGGUGGCAGUGAUUAAGGCGGGGAGUUGCAGUUCACGAGGUGCCCAUGCCUGAGUGAAUUGGACCAUGUUGCAUUUUCGGUUGGGUCGUUGGCAAUUUAUUAAAUUUGCCACAUCUGCAGGACUAUGUAGUUUAGGGUGGAUUCCAAUUAUAGACCACAUUGAUCAUGCUGUGUCCCGGGUUUCUUUCUUCACGCGUACAAUGCUGCAAACCUCUGAUUUGUACACAUCCGCAUUGGUUUGUUGGGUCAAGGAAAUAAAGCAAUAAAAUAUAGUUUCAUUCAAUAAUUUUCCCUGAUUAUUUUUAUUUUCAUUUACUUUUUGGUGUUCAAUAUUUGCUACAUUAGGAAAAGUUUUGUAGGUUUCGUGAAGAAGUUGCAAUGUUACUUUCAAUCAAGGACUUUAUCAGGUGUUAUUCCAAAUACACAAAUACACAUCGGUUAUGAAUAUGUUUGGAAUUAUAAACAGGAAAAGGAAAUGGAAAAUUCAUUUGAUUUUCUAUUCAUUAUUACUACUUAUGAAUUCAUUUGAUGCAGAUCCUUUUCCUUUCUUUUUUUUCUUUCCUUCAGGGUUUUAGAUUUCUAAAGUAGUUCUGAAAAGAGUAGUCCUCGCCAAUUUGUUCAACAACCUGUAAUCUACAAAGCAUUAAAACUAUGAAAGACUAAAGAAUUUACAUAUGUAUAUAUAAGUAGAAUAUUGAUGGAGAAGUUUGUAUUUUUGUGAAAUAUAUCGAGUAAGCCACAUUAAAUGUCAUGUCACUUCUUAUAUGCUUUCUGAUAAAUAUAUUGUGUGGACUAGACCCUCCGGCCACUAACAUGGUACUAGUGGAGCAACAUUGAAUAGGGUCUCAUGCGAGAAAAGGACUUGUGUCUGUAUUGUCUUCUUUUGUGAUUAUCUGCUCGAAGCAUCACCAAAUGGGAUCUUCUGGUCUAUUAGAUGAUGAGUAAAAUUAUGUUCAACUGCUCAUAUUUUUUAUGACCUUCUUUUCUACUUGUAAAACAAUUUGAAAUAUGAUUUUUAAGCAGUUACAAUUUCUCAUAGUUAGAUGUGUUGUGCAUAUAUAGGAUUACCUGGAGCCUGGAGGCAACAUUGAAUGGCCUAUUAUAAGGAAGGUGCUGGUGACUGACGUUUUGGGGUACUACGUGCUCCAAGGACGGCCAAGUGGAAUGUAAAGGCCAUUUUGGACCACCGCUAGUGGAGUUCGAUCUUUGUCCACCACCAAAAUUGAGUGAAAUUCCAUCUUAAGUCAUAUUGUUGACUCGCAUAUUUCUCUUAUCAUUAAUUUUAUAUCUCAAUCAUGUUGGAAAUUCUGUUUUACUCUUUUACCCGAUCGCAAGUGAAAUUUAAUCUAAAAUGAGUUGAAUUUAAUUUAAUUUAAUUACCCUUCCAUCAUUUAUUUUUAAUUGUUAAAUAAUUUGAAAUUUUAUUUUGAUGGAUGUUACUUUUAUAUUGUUUUUUGCCACCUCUCUUAUAAUAAAAUUAUAUUUGAUUCGCAAAAGAUAAGAUUAUAUAAAAUAAAAUAAAAUAAAAUAAAAAGUGAGCCAACAUAGUUUGAUUGAGAAUGUGGGAAGAAAAGUUUAGCUUUGGUAAGAUAAGUGAGUCACCUCUCCUAUCUAAUUUCAUUGCCGAGAUAUAAGCAGAAAGGAUUUUAAAUUCAUUUUUUUUUCAUUAAUUCUUUCUCUAUAUAUUUUAUUAAAUUAAAACUUUUUGUUUGGAAAAAGAAAAAUUAAAAUUAAAAAUAUUUAUAUAUAGAAUAUAUUUUAAAAUAAUAUUAAUAUAUAGUGUUAUUUAAUGUAAUAUAUAAUAUGUUUUUCUAUAUUUAGUAUAUAAUUUAAUUAAUGUACAUUAUUUAAUCACAUGUUUUUAUUUUUUAUUUAUAAAAUUGUAGAUAUUUUAAUUAUUGACACAACUAAAAUAUUAACUAAUUACAAGUCAUGGGUUGCAUCAGGAGUUGCACAAAUUAUACAAGUCAUGGAAUUUUUGUACGAUGAUAAAUUAUUAACAGUCGAUUCAUGGAUUUGGGUAAUCUAUUAAAGGUUGUAGUGCAAUACCUCUUAAUUGGAUAAGUUGAUUGUCCUGGUUGUCAGGAUGAGUUUCUCAUAGUGAGUGUAUUAGUAUGUAUGGUUACACAUAAUCAUAAUGUAAGAUUAUCAAUUGUCAUGAUUCACUAAGCUAAUAUAUUGCAUGGACUCUCCAAAUGCUUGUGUACUAGAACUGACAAAAAUAGUAGGUUCAGGAACCUUUGGAUACAUAGUCCUUUGUGCUUAUGUGGUAGUGUCUUCAAGUGUUUUCCAAUCUAUAUCAUGUUUUGUCCUACUACUCAUAUAGUCUUCUUCCAAAAAUAUGACAUUUAUACUAACAAGUACCUUUUAGUCAAUCUAACUAUAAAAGUAAUGCCCUAUUGUUCCUUUUGGAUAGCCUACAAACUGACAUACCUCAAACCUUACUCCCAACUUGUCUACCUUUGGCUUCAGCACAUGUGUUGGACACCCCCCCCCCCCCCCCAAAAUUUGAAUGUCGCUAUGAACACUAAAUUACUCUGUUUCUUGAAGGAUGCAUGCAUCUAUCCUAAGAUUCUCUAAAUCUAACGUAGCAAAAAAUAAUGAUUUCAAAAACCAUAUAACAUAUCAGAUUUAGACAUUAAAAUUUCACACCUAUGAUUUGGAUUUUCCUAAAUUGAUUUGCAUCCAAUGAAAACUCUAAAACCACGAUGGUUGUUGUAGAACUCAUCUACCCGACGAUCUUCCACCUGAUCUCUCCAUGGGUCUUGGCAUAAUAGUAACCCAAUCCAUAGGGAGUAUAUGACCAAUUUAAGGUCUUAGCCAUAGGUUAAAGUCUCUUAUUGAUUUCAACACAAGCUUAAUAUUCUCUCAAGGUUGAGAGUUCAUGCAACAUAGUAGAUUGGUAAAACAUGACAAUUUGAUAGCCUUAUGUCAUGAUUCAAUGUAGGUCCUGUCCAAUUUAUAACCAUACACACUAGUGCACUCAACAUGGGAAACCCAUCUUGACAGUCAAAACAAGUCAUUCCUCUAAUUAGAAGGUAGUGCACUAUAAUCUCUACUGGAUUGCCUAGAUCCAUGAAUUAAUUGUGAACAACUUAUCAUCUUACAAGGAACCCAUGACUUAUAUCCUCUAUAUAACUCCUAGUGUACCCAAGUCAUGUACAAUGCAAGUAAUAUGAGUUGAAUGCUCAAAUCAAUGUUAGUGCAUAAAAAUGAUAGCAAGAGGAUAGUGAAUUUUAACUUCAUUACAUCAUGGCUUGCUUUUAGGGGCUCAAUCCCAACUAAUAUGUUGCAAACUGGGUUUAGGACCUUCCCACAUCUCUAUGAGAGUUAAAGGUAACAACUUGGAAGACACUAGGUUGAGAAAGUAAGCCAUAGUAUCCAAGCUAUAUCCCCAAAAAGAUACAAGAAUUGGUAAGAAGCUCAUCAUAGAUCUCACCAUGUCCAUCAAUGUUUGAUUUCUUAUUUCUGGUACUCCAUUUUGUUGUGGAGCUCCAAGUGCACUCAAUGGGGAUAUAAUAUAAUGCUCCUUAAUAAAAGAAUUGAACUAGGAAUACAUGUACUCACCACCUCGAUCAGUUCAAAGUGCCUUAACAUGUUUACCCAACUCAUUUUUUAUUCCACCUUGAAUUCUAUGAAUUUGUCCAAGGCUUCGGACUUCCUAUGCAUUAGGUAAAUAAACAUGAACCUUGAGUAAUCAUUCGUAAACAUGAUGAAAUACUCAUACCUUCCUUGUGCAUUGACAUUAAAAUGCCCACACACGUUAGUAUAUACCAACUCUAAACACUCUUUAGCUCUAUAUCCUUCAGUAGUAAAAGGCAUCUAGGUCAUUUUACCUUCUAUACAGGAUUCAUAGAUUGGAAGAUCUUUUGGAAUCAAAGGUGCAAUAUUCCAAAGUUAACUAGUCUUUGGAUCCUAUUUAGAUUAAUAUGACCUAUGCACAAGUGCCAAAAUUAUGUUUGAUUAAUGCUAAGAUUUUUUAUUUAAAGUGUGACAUGAUAAUUCUCAUUACUUGGCAAAAUAGAUAAUGGUGAUAUAUUAUAAAGAUUAUCUAUCAAUGAUCCUAAGCAUAUAAACAAAUUAUUCAAUUUAAUAAAAACCUAUUUAUUAUAAAUAAAAAAUAAAAAAAGAACCACUAAAUAAUUCAAUUUACAUAAGAGAAACUAAAAUCAAAUUCUUCAUAAACUCAAGAACAUAAAAGCAAUCUUUUAAUUCUAGAAGAUAACAAUCAUCUAAGAUAAGGGUAACGUCUCUCACUACUUGCACGUCAAUCGUCACUUUAGAAGCUAAUUUCUGGUACAUGUCCCCAUCAUUCAAGCUUCCCCCUUAGUUGAAACCCCUAUAAAGAAUUACAAACAUGGUCAAUGGCCCCAAAAUCUAUCCACCAAGAAUUAGUAGAAUCCAACAUUAAACAUGAUUCAAUUAAAAGUGAAUGAUGCAUACCUAACUAUAUCUUUAGGAAAAUGUGGCACUCAUUUUUUGAAUGACAUUUCUUACCAUAAAAGAAGCACUUGCCUUGACCCCUUACUCUUCUUCUUUUUUUCCCUUGCUCUUAAACUUUCCCUUUUACUUAAUGAUCUUAAAAGGGUUCUUCUUUUUCUUGUUAAAAGAACCUAAAGAACCCUUAAUUUCCAUAUGAAUGCCCCUCUAGUCUUUGAGAACCCCCUCAGCCAUUUAGAGUUCUCUUAUCAAUUAAAUUAAGCUUACCACCAACUUAUCCAUAUAAUAGUUGAGCUUCAACUACCUAAAAGAAUUUGAUAAGAUCUAUAAAACCAUGUCAACUUAGGUUUCUCAAUCAAUCUUAGCUCCAAGGAUCUUUAUCUUGUUAAAGAGUUUGAUCAUAUGAAUUAUAUGAUAUCUAAUAGGAGUUCCUUCUAACAUCUUAGCAUUCAUAAUAGUUCAAAGCAACAUGUUUAGCUAACCUACCCUUACCACCAAACAUCUCAUGGAGACUAAGAAUAAUAUCAUAAGCUAUUAGCAUAGACACAUGUUAAUGUUGUAGCAUGUUUUCUAAGGACCCAAUUAUGAUACAUUUGGUCUUUUGAUCCACCUUCUCCCUACUAUGAUAAUUAUCCUUCUCCUCUUAAGUGGAAUGUUCAUUCUAGGGAGAUGAAGCAAAUUCCUAAGUCACCCACUUUAGCUCCUCUAAAGUAAGUGUUGUAUCCAGAUUCCUUUUCCAAUCCACGUAGUAAGAAGAUGGACCAAAUUCCUAACUUAGCCACUUUAGCUCCUCUAAAGUGAGUGUUGUGUUUGAAUUUCUUUUCCAAUCCACAUAGUUUGGAUUAUGCAAUUUAUUAGUAGUGAGUAUGAGAUUAAGCGGAUUAUAUGACAUGAUAUUUAUAAUAAAAACAAAAACAAUGCAUUAAUAAAAUGAGCAUACAUAUCAAGGAUAAAUUUAGAAAAAAUGUAGAAUUCUUAAGGCUACAUUUCCAUUUGCAAGGUAUCUUAGUAUCAUAAAAAUCAAACCUACAUAAGAUAGGUCAUAACCUUAUUAUUGGUUAGAAAUAAGAAUGAAAAAUUUGGGAUAUAUCAUCCAUAUAUUGUGUAUAAAGAGCCAUGGAAGCAAUAUUUCAAGGUGAUAUAUUAAGGAGGAGAAAUAUCGGGAAAAAAAUCGCCAAAUACUACUGAUAUAUCAACAAUAUAUCAUCGAUUGGUAAUAAAUCUCUAACUUAUGGAAUUAAUCGGCUAACGUUCCAAUAUAUCGUCGAUAUAUCAACAAUUUAUAAACAAAAAAUCAUUGAUUUUUAUGGAUAAAUUGACACAUAGGGAAGGCAUGAUCUGAUGGCCUAGAUCAUGCCCAUGUUGCAAUAGUCAUCUACCUCUUUAUUUGAUGGCCCACUAAGAGGUGAUCCAAUGACUGGGAAGGAAUCCCAACGACUAUUUGAUGAUCCAAUGGUUAGAUUUCGCUCAAAUUUCGAUCCAACAGCCAGAAUUGUUUUCAAACGUUAAAAUGACAUUCCAAUAGCUAUUUUGGCCCAAUUUUUUCUACAAUAGCUCAUUUUUCCUUUUUCAUACUUCAAUUGAUCUCUUAUUGCUCAUAAUAUUUUUGUUAUUAUUCUCAAAUUCUAAUAAAUUUGGGAAUUUAUAAGUCAAGUUUGUGGAUUAACUCUGAAUUCCAAACAAAGGUUGCUCAUUUAUUGUAAGGUAUGUUUGUUUUAAAUUUUAAUUAUUUUGUAUUAAAGUGUAAUUAAUUAGUAGAUUUUUAAUUAAUUAGUAUAUUUUCAAUAGAUUUAGUAAAUUAACUUAGCUUAGUUAUAUAUUUGAUUCAUAUAAUUAGUAGAUUUGCAAUAAGUUAAUUUUAAAUUAAUUAUUUUAUUUUAUUUUUAUAUUGAAUUGUAAUUAAUUAGUAGAUUUUCAAUGAAUUAGUAUAUUUUCAAUAGAUUUAGCAAAUUAACUUGGCUUAGUUAUAUAUUUUUUUCACAUAAUUAGUAGAUUUGCAAUAAGUUAAUUUUAAAUUAAUUAUUUAAUAUUAUUUUUAUAUGCAAUUGUAAUUAAUUACUAGAUUUUCAAUAGAUUUACUAUAUUUUCAAUAUAUUUAGUAAAUUAACUUAGCAUAGUUUUAUAUUUGAUUCACAUAAUUAGUAGAUUUGCAAUAAGUUGGUUUUAAAAUAAUUAUUUAAUUUUAUUUUUAUAUUCAGUUGUAAUUAAUUAAUAGAUUUACUGUAUUUUCAAUAUAUUUAGUAAAUUAACUUAGCAUAGUUUUAUAUUUAAUUUAUAUAAUUAGUAGAUUUGCAACAGGUUGAUUUUAAAUGAAUUAUUUAAUUUUAUUUUUAUAUUCAAUUGUAAUUAAUUAGUAGAUUUUCAAUAGAUUUACUAUAUUUUCAACACAUUUAGUAAAUUAACUUAGCAUAGUUUUAUAUUUGAUUCACAUAAUUAGUAGAUUUGCUAUAAGUUGAUUUUAAAUUAAUUAUUUAAUUUUAUUUUUAUAUUCAAUUGUAAUUAAUUAGUAGAUUUUCAAUGGAUUUAAUAAAUUAACUUAGCAUAGUUAUAUAUUUGAUUCAUAUAAUUAAUAGUUUUGCAAUAAGUUAAUGAAAUUAAUGAUUUAAUUUUAAUAUUUUGUAUCAUUACUAGACAUUGAACUUAAAUUACUUCAAUUUCAUGUUAUGCAUACUUCCAAUUGAAUAGAAUGGCCAAUGCAAGUGGAAGUGAAAAUGGAGGUGGUGGGAGUGGCAUGGCAGGGUGAAAUCCAACUUAGAAGCAUUGUUCAUCGGUGAAGAGAAAUAAAAAUGGGACAAUUUGUAAUUAUUGUGGAUUGUUGAUGAAGAGUGGAUGCAUCACUUGAUUAAAAAGUUCAUUUAGCGCAUAGAGACUCCCACAACAACACCAUAAAGUUUCCUAGAGUGCCUCCUAAAGUGAAAGAAGAGAUAUGAAAGAUGUUGCAUCAAAAAGCUAAAGCAAAAGCAAAGAAAGUUGCAUAAUAAGACUAAUGUUUACCCUCCUUAUGUGAUGGGUUAUGGUCAACCUUCAAGUUCAACCGAUGAAGAUUAUGGUAUGCCUAGCUAUUCUCCUUCUGCACAAAUAUCAUACCACAUUCCAUAUCAGAUGUAAGGAGGAUUUGACACAAGCACAUGGGUGAACCUCAAGUAUCCCAUCCAUAGAGAGAUAGUGGGCAAGAUUCAACAGAUUUGUGCAUGGCAUGUUCGAAUUUUUAAUCAAUACUAUUGAGGCUCAGUGAGUUAGUACCAAUAUUGUCUCCAACAACAAGACAAGGUUCCUUCAUCUACCAAUUCCAUUAAACCACAUCGAUCACCAUUUUGAUACUAAAUAGUCAUUACAAUGUAUAGGUAAUCACUCAGUCACUGAAUAUGCUCAAUGUUUACAAAACUUAUAGCAAGAAUUGGACCAUUAUCAGUGUAUUGAGAUGAAGUGUAGCAAAGAUCCAACCCUUUUUAAACGUUUUAUGGAAAAAGAGAGGAUUUACCCCUUUAUUGUUAGAUUGAAUAUUGAGUUUGAUCUUGUUCGAGUGCGACUGUUAGGAAAGGAAGAGUCUCUUUACUCAAUGAAACAAUUGCCAUAAUUCAUGAAAAAAAAAAAGAUAAAAAGGGUUAUAUUAGAGCCUCAAUCAACUGAUGGUUCAACCUUGGUUACAAAAGAUGGAAGUCUUAGAGCUGUAAAAUUAAACUAGUAGUAGUUAAAUGCCUAUUCUAACGGAGAAAGAGGAAAUAAUGGGCAAUCAGAAGUGAGAAAAACACCCAAGAGGGGGUGAAUUGGGUUUUAAAAAAAACUUUUUGAACACAACAAAUUUAAGCACAAAAGAAGCAAAUAUAAAGAGAUAGAGUUAGAGAAAUCAAACUCAGAUUUUAUAAUGGUUCGACACUUGCUUGCCUACACCCACUCUCCUCAAGCUCCUAACCGAGUGAGGGUUCCACUAACUUGAAGCUUCAACCAAGCUUCUAAUCACCUUUACACUUGGAUUCUGGCUCCAAUGGCCUUUUACACCAUCUCUUCAAGUUUCAACUCACUUGAAAGGUUUAACACUCAAUUAACAGAUAUGAAUCUCUCAACCGAGCUCAACAAAGGCUCAAAUACAACUCAAGGCCAGGAUGAAUCACAAAGGUGCACUAAAGGAUAUGCAAAUGGAGAUUUAAUGAACCAAGAAAGGAAUGAGAGCUUAAGCUAAGAACAAGUGAGUAAACAAAUAAAUACAGGUGUUCUCUUACUCAUAAAUGAAGUGAAGCUCUCUAUUUAUAUGUUUCUAACCUCAGGAGCCAAGAAAACCGAAAAGCAGCCUCAACCGAUCGAGUUGGGGGUCGAUCGGUUCACUAGCUGUUAAAGCAUUUAAUGCUUGGUAGGUGACCGUUACCCUUGAUCGGACAUCGACCAGACCUCGAUCAGAGGUCGACCGGGAAGGCAAAUACCUUGACCGGGAAGGAAAGGCUAUUGGAAGAAAGAGAAUGUUUUUUGCACUCCUUGACAGGACCUCAACCGGGAAGAGAGAACCGGUCGAUUGGUAUCCCUAGUUGAGUCGGUUAGCCAGUGCCUCAACCGGUUCACCAUUUUUUACCUGAAAACCUAUCUUUUUUUUGUCUUUUUUCUUCUAACACUUAGGCAAGGUCUUUAGGUAAAUUAGUAUGCCAAUUUUGAAGUGAUUUUCCUAAGGUUCAUUUGAUAAAACUCGGGUUUUGAUGAAACUGUAACUUUAAAGAAUAAACCGAGUUUUUCAAAGAUGCAAGAAAUGAUAUGUAAAUCCUAAGUGCACCCAUGCAUUCAUCUUACAUAUGUUUCCUAUGAUUAAAGGUCUUCCAAAGGUCUUGAUCUUACAUCCAUUAGGUCAUUUAAUGAAUUACAAAUUAAUACCUAAAAUUCUUUAUAAUUCAAACCAAUUAGUAACUUAACCAUGGUUUGUUAUCAUCAAACCUGAUUAGGAGAACCCUUAGGCUAACAAGAAGGAUCAAGAACAAGAAAUAAAGACUCUUUAUGGUGUACCUAUUAUAAGAAGUUGUGACACGUGAAGGAGAGGUGUUGAAAACUCCAUAGUAAGCCCUCAAAUACUCAAAAUACUUCUUAGACAACAAAAAUUAAUCAAGAAGAAGUACAAAGACAUGCACAUUUGACCUUGGCACAAUCAAGAAGUGAAGAAGAAUUCUCUUAAGAGCGACCCAAGUUCAAUAGAGAAAAGAUUGAGAAAAACUGAGAUAUUUUUUAAGGACAUUGAGAAAUCUAUAAGUGGUACUUCUUCCUUGACUUUUUCACAUAAUUCUUAACCCUAUGCAUUUAAUGUGUAUAUCUCAAAAGGAGCAUAGAUAGUAGAUUCUGGUGCUAUGGAACAUAUGACCCAAUCUUCUCAUGGAUUUGUCUCUUAUAGUCUUUGUCCUAGUAAUAAGAAAAUUGCUAUUUGUAAUGACUCACACCUAACCAUGUAGAUAUUGUCAGUUUUAGGCCUAAAAGGUCCUCACGACUUUAAAAUGCGUCUACAUGAUUAAGAGGAGCUCAUAAUUAUAUAAUGCUAGGAACUUUCUUCUUUAUCCUAUGUGUGACAUCACAAACACCCUCCUCUAUGUAGACACAACGUCUUCAUUGUGUCCCAUGGGAUUACUAGGUCAAACAAACUGAGAAAAUAAAAACUAAUCUUAAAUGAGAAAAACACCCAAAAAGGGGGGUGAAUUGGUGAUUACUACCAAAAAGUGUUAUUUUGUAGACCUAAUUAUAAUGGUUUUAAGCACCUUUGAGUAGUAAUCAUAUUCAUUUAAACCAAUUAAUUCAUUAAGGUCCUUAGUAAUUGGUUUUAACCAUUUUGUGGCAAGUUUACAUGUUUUUAUCAGCUUAUGAAUCAAUUCAAGCAUGCCAAAUGAUGGAGGAGCUACUUGGACAAGUUAUGGCAAAGCUUUUGGAAGCUCAAAUUCAUGAAGAACCAAGCUUUGGAGCUACAUAGCCCUUUGCCAAAGUCGUUCAAAGUUUGCAAAGUGAAGCAAAGAGGAAAAGCAAGCAAAGAGGAAAACAGAGGACAGCAGCUGCAGUCUUAUUUCGCACUUUUGGAGCACUUCCCGAAGUCCAUUUUUUACAUACUAUAUACCAUUUCAAAGAUCUGGAAGUCAAGAAUCCAACGCUUCAAACCGUGUACGAUUUGGAGUUGAAAUGAGGAAGAUAUGGCCUUCGGAAGCCAACUGCUCCAGGUUAUGCGAAAAUUUCGCAUUCCACAAGGUGUUAUGCGAAAUUCGCAUAACAUUCGCAUAACCCAUGCGUGUUGCGAAUUUUGCUCUGUUUUUGCCGACUCCACUUUAGAUAUUUUCCUUUGUAUUUUGUGAUGUAAUUUCCUUUCUUAUCCUUGUAACUAACCAAUCACAAGCUUUUGCUUUUGUAAAGACUAUAUAAGGGGUGGAAAUCACCUCUUGAAGAUAUAGACGCAUAUAUACAGAGACGGAGCCUUGCUCUGUUUUUUCUCUCUUCUCCUGUUCUCCCGUUUCUAUUUUCUUAGUAGCCAAACAGCCUCUAAGGGCUUUUCCUUAGAGGAUGAUUGGCUAAAACUUUUAGUUUCUCAAAGUAUGGAUGUUAUGUGAUGGCUUGGAUGCAAUCCCAUGGAAAUUUCUCGCGCCCGGAAGGUAAGGGNNNNNNNNNNNNNNNNNNNNNNNNNNNNNNNNNNNNNNNNNNNNNNNNNNNNNNNNNNNNNNNNNNNNNNNNNNNNNNNNNNNNNNNNNNNNNNNNNNNNGAACCAUUGAUGAAAUUCACUACCAUCUGUUUUGUCAUUUUAAAGGAUUAAAACUUGAUUUGCUAAAUCCAUACCGGUUCGGGAAGCAAGCAUCACCAUAGUUGCAACCCCAACGCGAGGAGCCUAUCCUGAGAUUUCCAAUUUGCAUAAGAGCCAGAGCAUAGCUAUCCUAUCUUUGAGAAACUUGUUUUUACACCCUUUCAUUUUAGUCUUUAAUGUUAGCUUAGAUUAGUUUAAAUCUUUCUGAAAUAUUUACAUCUUCUUUUAAAGCUAACAUCCAUAAGAAAAUCACCUAUUUUCCUAAUUUGAAUAUCACUUGUGUUUGCGAAAACCCUUCCCAGUGAACGAUCCUAGAACCACUAUGCUAUAGUAGCUUGGCUACUUUAGUAAUAGUAUUUAAGGUAUAAAUUUUGUUGAUACACCUUUAAAGCUAAGCUACCAUGAGUCGCAUCAAUUGGGUUUUUAAAAAUCUUUUUUAACACAACAAAUUCAAGAACAAUAGAGGCAAAUAUAAAGAGAUAGAGUUAGAGAAAUCAAACUUAGAUUUUAUAGUAGUUCGGCACUUCCUUACCUACGUCCACUCUCCUCAAGCUCCUAACCAAGUGAGGGUUCCACUAACUUAAAGCUUCAAUGAUUCGACUCAUGGUAGCUUAGCUUUAAAGGCGUAUCAACAAAAUUUAUACCUUAAAUACUAUUACUAAAGUAGCCAAGCUACUAUAGCAUAGUGGUUCUAGGAUCGUUCACUGAAAAGAGUUUUCGCCAACACAAGUGAGAUUCCAAUUUCGAAAAUAGGUGAUUCUUUNNNNNNNNNNNNNNNNNNNNNNNNNNNNNNNNNNNNNNNNNNNNNNNNNNNNNNNNNNNNNNNNNNNNNNNNNNNNNNNNNNNNNNNNNNNNNNNNNNNNNNNNNNNNNNNNNNNNNNNNNNNNNNNNNNNNNNNNNNNNNNNNNNNNNNNNNNNNNNNNNNNNNNNNNNNNNNNNNNNNNNNNNNNNNNNNNNNNNNNNNNNNNNNNNNNNNNNNNNNNNNNNNNNNNNNNNNNNNNNNNNNNNNNNNNNNNNNNNNNNNNNNNNNNNNNNNNNNNNNNNNNNNNNNNNNNNNNNNNNNNNNNNNNNNNNNNNNNNNNNNNNNNNNNNNNNNNNNNNNNNNNNNNNNNNNNNNNNNNNNNNNNNNNNNNNNNNNNNNNNNNNNNNNNNNNNNNNNNNNNNNNNNNNNNNNNNNNNNNNNNNNNNNNNNNNNNNNNNNNNNNNNNNNNNNNNNNNNNNNNNNNNNNNNNNNNNNNNNNNNNNNNNNNNNNNNNNNNNNNNNNNNNNNNNNNNNNNNNNNNNNNNNNNNNNNNNNNNNNNNNNNNNNNNNNNNNNNNNNNNNNNNNNNNNNNNNNNNNNNNNNNNNNNNNNNNNNNNNNNNNNNNNNNNNNNNNNNNNNNNNNNNNNNNNNNNNAUCACUUGUGUAUGCGAAAACCCUUCUCAGUGAACGAUCCUUAAACCACUAUGCGAUAGAAGCGAGGAAUCUCUAGUAAUCGUAUUUAAGGCAUAAAUAUUGAAUAUACACCUUUUAAGCUAUAGGUUGCGUGACAUGGGAUCAAUUCAGUUUUUAAAUAUCUUUAGUCACCCAUCAAAUUCAAGAUCAAUAGAGGCAAAUAUAAAGAGAUAGAGUUAGAGAAAUCAAACUUAGAUUUUAUAGUAGUUCGGCACUUCCUUACCUACGUCCACUCUCCUCAAGCUCCUAACCAAGUGAGGGUUCCACUAACUUAAAGCUUCAAUGAUUCGACUCAUGGUAGCUUAGCUUUAAAGGCGUAUCAACAAAAUUUAUACCUUAAAUACUAUUACUAAAGUAGCCAAGCUACUAUAGCAUAGUGGUUCUAGGAUCGUUCACUGGGAAGGGUUUUCGCAAACACAAGUGAUAUUCAAAUUAGGAAAAUAAGUGAUUUUCUUAUGGAUGUUAGCUUUAAAAGAAAAUGUAAAUGUUUUAGAAAGAUUUAAACUAAUUUAAGCUAACAUUAAAGACUAAAAUGAAAGGGUGUAAAAACAAGUUUCUCAAAGAUAGGAUAGCUAUGCUCUGGCUCUUAUGCAAAUUGGAAAUCUCAGGAUAGGCUCCUCGCAUUGGGGUUGCAACUAUGGUGAUGCUUGCUUCCCGAACCGGUAUGGAUUUAGCAAAUCAAGUUUUAAUCCUUUAAAAUGGCAAAACAGAUGGUAGUGAAUUUCAUCAAUGGUUAUUCACCUUAGACUUCCUUUGAAUGGCUCGUAAGAGAUAACUAGUAGUCUAAAGCUAAAAGCUUACCAAAUAUUGGCAACUCAAAGUCAUUCCAGGUGAUAAACUCACCUUUCAAUGGCCAUUGAAAUUGGUUCUAAUGGAUUAAUGCAAAACUUGGAAUUGAAAACCUCACCUUCCAAUAGCUCGUAGGAGAUAACUAAUGGAUAGAAAUCCAAAAGCUUAUCAAGUAUUGGCCGUUGGAAGUUGUCAAAAGGAAAUAAAAACCAAACUUUGCAUUAAUGAACCAUUAAUGAAAAACGACUACCUUACCUUCCGGGUGCGAGAAAUUUCCAUGGGAUUGCAUCCAAGCCAUCACAUAACAUCCAUACUUUGAGAAACUAAAAGUUUUAGCCAAUCAUCCUCUGAGGAAAAGCCCUCAGAGGCUGUUUGGCUUCCAAGAAAAUAAAAUAUUAAAGAGAAAAGAGAAAAGAGAGAGCUCUGUAUCUAUUCUCUAAGUGUUAAACGUAAUAUCUAUUCUAUAUGUGUUCCAAGAGGUGAUUUCCACCCCUUAUAUAGUCUUUACAAAAGCAAAAGCUUGUGAUUGGUUAGUGAUUACUACCAAAAAGUGCUAUUUUGUAGACCUAAUUAUAAUGGUUUUAAGCACCUUUGAGUAGUAAUCAUAUUCAUUUAACCCAAUUAAUUCAUUAAGGUCCUUAGUAAUUGGUUUUAACCAUUUUGUGGCAAGUUUACAUGUUUUUAUCAGCUUAUGAAUGAAUUCAAGCAUGCCAAAUGAUGGAGGAGCUACUUGGACAAGUUAUGGAAAAGCUUUUGGAAGCUCAAAUUCAUGAAGAACCAAGCUUUGGAGCUCCAUAGCCCUUUGCCAAAGUCGUUCAAAGUAUGCAAGGAAAGAACAAUGGAGAAGAGGAAAGCAAAGUGAAAAAAUCAGAGGACAGCAGCUGCAGUAUUCUUUCGCACUUUUGGAGCACUUCCCGAAGUUAAUUUUCUACAUACUAUAUUCCAUUUCAAAGCUCUGGAAGUCAAGAAUCCAACGCUUCAAACCGUGCACGAUUUGGAGUUGAAAUGAGGAAGAUAUGGCUUUCGGAAGCCAACUGCUCCAGGUUAUGCGAAAAUUUCGCAUAACACCUUCAAAAUUCGCAUAACCCAUGCGUGUUGCGAAUUUUCCUCUGCUNNNNNNNNNNNNNNNNNNNNNNNNNNNNNNNNNNNNNNNNNNNNNNNNNNNNNNNNNNNNNNNNNNNNNNNNNNNNNNNNNNNNNNNNNNNNNNNNNNNNNNNNNNNNNNNNNNNNNNNNNNNNNNNNNNNNNNNNNNNNNNNNNNNNNNNNNNNNNNNNNNNNNNNNNNNNNNNNNNNNNNNNNNNNNNNNNNNNNNNNNNNNNNNNNNNNNNNNNNNNNNNNNNNCUAUCCAUUAGUUAUCUCCUACGAGCUGUUGGAAGGUGAGGUUUUCAAUUCCAAGUUUUGCAUUAAUCCAUUAGAACCAAUUUCAAUGGCCAUUGAAAGGUGAGUUUAUCACCUGGAAUGACUUUGAGUUGCCAAUAUUUGGUAAGCUUUUAGCUUUAGACUACUAGUUAUCUCUUACGAACCAUUCAAAGGAAGUCUAAGGUGAAUAACCAUUGAUGAAAUUCACUACCAUCUGUUUUGCCAUUUUAAAGGAUUAAAACUUGAUUUGCUAAAUCCAUACCGGUUCGGGAAGCAAGCAUCACCAUAGUUGCAACCCCAACGCGAGGAGCCUAUCCUGAGAUUUCCAAUUUGCAUAAGAGCCAGAGCAUAGCUAUCCUAUCUUUGAGAAACUUGUUUUUACACCCUUUCAUUUUAGUCUUUAAUGUUAGCUUAGAUUAGUUUAAAUCUUUCUGAAAUAUUUACAUCUUCUUUUAAAGCUAACAUCCAUAAGAAAAUCACCUAUUUUCCUAAUUUGAAUAUCACUUGUGUUUGCGAAAACCCUUCCCAGUGAACGAUCCUAGAACCACUAUGCUAUAGUAGCUUGACUACUUUAGUAAUAGUAUUUAAGGUAUAAAUUUUGUUGAUACGCCUUUAAAGCUAAGCUACCAUGAGUCGCAUCAGUUAGUUACAAGGAUAAGAAAUGAAAUUACAUCAAAAAAUACAUCGGAAGAUAUCUAAAGUGGAGUCGGCAAAAACAGAGGAAAAUUCGCACCACGCAUGGGUUGUGCGAAUUUGGAAGGUGUUGUGCGAAAUUUUCGCACAAGCCUGGAGCAGUUGUCUUCCGAAGGCCAUAUCUUCCUCAUUUCAGCUCCAAAUCGUACACAGUUUGAAGUUUUGGAUUCUUGACUUCCUGAUCUUUGAAAUGGUAUAUAGCAUGUAGAAAAUGGACUUCGGGAAGUGCUCCAAAAGUGCGAAAGAAUACUACAGCUGCUGUUCUCUGUUUUCCUCUUCUCCAUUGUUCUUUCCUUGCAUACUUUGAACGACUUUGGCAAAGGGCUAUGGAGCUCCAAAGCUUGGUUCUUCAUGAAUUUUAGCUUCCAAAAGCUUUGCCAUAACUUUUCCAAGUAGUUCCUCCAUCAUUUGGCAUGCUUGAAUUGAUUCAUAAGCUAAUAAAAACAUGUAAACUUGCCACAAAAUGGUUAAAACCAAUUACUAAGGACCUUAAUGAAUUAAUUGGGUUAAAUGAAUAUGAUUACUACUCAAAGGUGCUUAAAACCAUUAUAAUUAGGUCUACAAAAUAGCACUUUUUGGUAGUAAUCAUUCAACCAAACUUCUAAUCACCUUUACACUUGGAUUACAGCUCCAAUGGGCUCUUACACAAUCUCUUCAAGAUUCACUCACUUGAAGGCUUUAACACUUAAUUAACAAGAAUGAACUUCUCUCAACCUAGCUCAAUAAUAGCUCAAUAAUAGCUCAAAUACAAAUCAAAGGCUAGGAUGAAUCACAAAGGUGCACAAAAGGAUAUGCAAGUGAAGAUUUAAUGCACCAAGAAAGAAAUGACAGCUUUGAAGACAAGAACAAGUGGGUAGACAAAUAAAUGCAAGUGUUCUCUAUCUUAUUAAUGAAGUGGAGCUCUCUAUUUAAAGGUUUCUAACCUCGGGAGCCAAGAAAAUCAAAAAACAACCUCAACCAGUUGAGUCGGGGGUCGACCAGUUCACUAGCCAUUAGAGCAUUUAAUGUUUUGGCAGGUUACCGUUGCUUCAACCAAACUUCAAUCAGACCUCGACUGGAGGUCGACCGGGAAAGGAAGGCUACUGGAAGAGAGAGUGUGUUUUUGCACUCCUUGAUCGGACCUCAACUGGGCAAAAGGAACUUGUCGACCGGUACCCUAGUCAAUUGAGCCGGUUGGCCCAGUGUCUCGACCGAUUCAACAUUUUAGCACCAAAAACCUUUUUUUUUUUUUUUUUUGUUAUUUUAUCAUCUAACUCUUGGACAAAGUCUUUAGGUAAAUUAAUAUGCCAAUUUUGAAACAUUUUCCUUAAGGUUCAUUUGAUAAAACUUGGGUUUUAAUGAAAUUGUAACUUUAAAGAAUAAACCGAGUUUUCCAAAAAUGCAUGAAAUGAUCUGUAAAACCUAAGUGCACCCAUGCAUUCAUCUUACAUUUGUUUUCUAUUAUUAAAGGUCUUCCAAGUGUCUUGAUUUUGUAUCCAUUAGGUGCUUUGAUGAAUUUCCAAAUUAAUACCUGAGAUUCUUUACGAUUCAAACCAAUUAGUAACUUAACCAUGGUUUGUUAUCAUCAAAACCUGAUUAGUAGAACCCUUGGCUAACAAUCUCCCAUUUUUUUAUGAUGACAAACCUUGGUUAUCUAGGAGAAAAAGAAUCUCCCCCUCAAAUCAAUCAUGGAUCAAUCAAUCAAAAUUUAUGAAGUUAAAACCAAAAUAAUCAAGACAUGCUAGAGAGAAUGAAUUGACAAUAAGAAAAUAGUAUAAGUCAUGAAGCAUAUCAUAUAUAAGUCAAAUGUACACGAAACAUAUAAGCCUAUCACAUAUACGAUCCAAACAAGUGAUAUGACAAUGAUAUGCAUGUAAGUCUCCUAGAUCCUAAAUAUCUCCCUUUUUUGGCAACAUAAAAAAGAAACAAAUGGGGUCUCUAUGCAAUCAAGGCUAAGGAGAUGGAAGUGGAAACACGGAGCGUAGAUAAGCCAUCAUCUACUCAUGUUGACUCUCCAGGCUACCCUCAAUGCACUCAAUCCUCUACUGGAAAUGCUCAAAUGCAGCCUAAUAUUGAUCCAUGCGAGCCUCGAGACUCUCAAACCAUAAGGUGAAGCCAUCCUUCUAUUGAUCCAUGCGAUCCUCCAUAGGCUCAAAUCUCUGUUGCAGAUACUCAAUCUGAGAGGUGAAUCCAGUCUGAUACUGAUCCAUGCGAUUCUCCAUGGAGUAGAACCGAGUAUCACUUACUACAGCAAGCCCCUCCAUGUGAGUGCCUAGAGAGCUAAUUUGAGCAGAUUAGCUUUGAAUAUAAAAAUAUAUUCACCUAUAAUAAUUAAUAAUCUAAUAAAUAAAUACUAACAUUUUAAAUAAUAUUGAUUUCAAAUAUAUAUAAUAUUUUAUUAUGUUUUGUAUUCGUAAUAUUUUUAUAUUUAGAAUAUUUACAGUUUUCAUAUCAUAGAUCUCAUAUUUACAGUUUUCAUAUCAUAGAUCUCAUUUUCUACAUUUAUUUUAUUUUUAUUUUUAUUUUUAUUUUUUUAUAUAAUAUUAAACAUGAAUUAAAAAUAAAUAAAAAACUAUCCACGUGUUUAAAACUAAAUCUUUUGGCUUUUAAAAGGUAAACACGGAAAAAUAGUAUAAAAAAUAUUAACUUACCUUUAAUUUCAUUCAAUAAAAAAUUAGUAAUGAUCAUUCUUUAAGAGUAUUUAAUUUUAAAAGUAAUAUUUGAAGGUAUGUAAAAUUAAAAUUUUAAAAGUGUUUAUAUUAAAUUUUUGAAUAAAUUCACAAUUUCCAUCAUAAUACAUUGAUAUUUACAAAUAACCAAAAAAGAAAACUAAUGUUUUUAUUAAAUAUGUAAUUUAUAUAUAUAUAUAUAUAUAAUUAAAAAUUUAAACCAUUAAAAUUGUCUUUAUUUUUCAUGUAUAAUUUUUUUUUUAAAGUAUAUUAUAAUAGACCCCUCUUGUGGACCAAGGGGUAUUGUUGGCCACCCGGGAGAACUGGGCAUUUUUUUGGGGGGGAUGACCUCCAUGGGAGCAAGCCACUGAGACUUGUGGCAAGGACAUGACCACCUUGCCAUAGUGGUGGUUGAGGAUGGAGACCUUUUUGUUGAAGGAUGAGCAGUGGAAUGAGUAAAAUCUUAUAGGAAAAGAAAGAGGCAAGAUAGAAAAAAAAAACAGGGGAAUGAGGUUUUCAGUAGGUAGAGCUUUUUGGGAGAAGGUGAGGGAGGAGGAUCGAAUAAGCAGGGGAAAGUUUUUGCUGAGUUGGGAGAAGCUAUGCAAUCAAGUUCUUGAAACCGAGCAAUCCUUGUUCGAGUUGGAGUUAUUCGGGUGCAGUCACUGCAUGCUCUGUUGUCCCAUUUUUGCACCAUUUUGCUCUAUAUCUUGUUGAUGUUUGGGUUUGUUUCCGAUGAUUGGGAGUGGACAUUAUAAAUCAUACAUAUCUAAGAUCAUUUGCAUACACUUUUUGUUUGGUUUUUCGGUUUUUAUAGAAUCUGAAAUCAUACUCUGUUUCUUUGCUUUGUUUUGGUUUAUCUGUAAUAUGCCUGAAACCAUUUGUUUUUCUUUUUUUCUAUUUAUAUUUAGUGUUUAUUUUGGUCACUCACAAUCAGUUUACAAGCUCAUUGACAAACUAUGAAAUGGUGCAAGGUUUAAUGGUCUUUGGUUUGUUUAUGUAUGCUUUGUUUUGGUCUUUGUUGUGUUUGGGGGAGUAUCCCAGCCAUCUUGGUUGGGAUGUUCCUAAGAAAACCCCGUGUAUACCACUUUUCACACAGACGAAAACUCUUGGAUGCUUGUGUUGCCAUGUAACCCACACACCAAGGCCUUCACAUCUUCCCCUCGCGAGUUCCUUUUUAGAUUUGUUGGAAUUCAGUGAUGGGCAUGGUGAAGAGGAAGUCAUUCAGUAGUUAUAAAAGGAUAAUGCAAGCCAUUUCAACAUCAUUAGUGCAAUCUAGAAAGGUGGUAACAUGGGAAAGAGGCAUAUCUGGUCAACUGGGUCACGAGGAAUGGGUGAGAGAAAGAUAGCUGCAGGAAGGGAGGUAGCAACUCAUAAAUGGUGGAAAGGGAGAGCAAAUGGUGGGGGUUGUGAUUUUGUGAUUCUGUAGGAAAGGAGAGCACAAAUACAAAGAGAGUGUAGAGAGGAGGCACAGGCACAGGUAAAGGCAAAAGCAUGGAGAUGGUUCAGAUGCAGAGAAGGUUUGUGGAGUAUGCAACAUCCUUACUUCAUGAGGGGUUCUUAGAUGGUCAGUUCACACAGCUUUAGCAACUACAAGAUGAGAGCAACCCUGAUUUUGUGGUUGAAGUGGUGUCUCUCUUCUUUUAGGAUUCUGAUAAGCUUCUCAAUGAUCUACCCAUAGCCCUAGAUCAGCAAAAUGUAGAUUUUAAGAGGGUUGAUUCCCAUGUUCAUCAGUUGAAGGGCAGCAGCUCUAGCAUAGGACCACAGAGAGUAAAAAAUGUUUGUAUUGCCUUUCGCAACUACUGUGAGGAACAGAACACUGACGCGUGCUUGAGCUGCCUACAGCAAGUGAAACAAGAGUACUCCCUUAUUAAGAGUACGCUUGAAACUCUCUUCAGGUUGGAGCAACAAAUUUUGAUAGCUAGUGGGUCGAUACUGAUAGGUGGUCCCAGUCAAAGCUAUAAAGAAAAGAAGAAAAAAAAAGGAUCUUUAAAAUAAUAUUUUGCUUAAGGUGAGAAUGAACCUUGUGAUUUAUUAUCUGGCGUCCCCUUGUUCUCCAUGGCUAAAAUGAUUAAAUACAUAAAGGACUCAACUGCUCCACUAAACAAAAGGAGUGAACGGCUAGUGGACAAUAAAAUAGCCAACAAUGGUGGAAUUGUUCUUUCCACUUAUUGACCAAUUCCUAUGCAAACAAAAUAACAUAAUAACAACUUAUUGACCAUUGACCGAUUCCUAUGUUGCAAACAAAAUAACAUCAUAAUCUACCAUCCCAUGGUCCCAUGCUCAACUUCUGUACCUUGGAUUCUUGAUAGGCACUCGAGUUGAUCUUCUUAACUUAUGAUUGCCCCCUUCUUUCAGUCGAACCUUGUCCUCAAGGUUCAAGUUAAUAUACUUGUUGCGCAACUCCUAGGUAUUUUCCCACGUAGCAUCUUCUUUUGGAAGCUUUUUCCACUGGACAAGGCUUUUUUCAACAAAACUUGACCCUUUAUUAACCCACCUAGUAUCCAAAAUAGCUUCGGGUUCCAUAAUAAUCUCACCAUCAUUAGUUAGGGGCGGCAAAGUGUUUGUGGCCUUAGUCUCCUCUACCUGCCUUUUAAGCAGUGAAACAUGAAAAACAGGGUGAAUUCGGGAACCUUUAGGCAACUUGAGUUUGUAAGCUACCUUUCCAACAUUUUCUUCAAUGUGGUAUGGGCCAUAAAAGCGACUGGCCAACUUUUGAUGCGCCUUCCUAUAGACAGUUUGCCGACAAUAAGGAUGGAGUUUAAGGAAGACCAAAUCCCCCACUUGGAAUUCCAUGUCCCUUCUUUUUUAAUCUGCCACUUGUUUCAUUCGAUUAACUGCUGCAUGUAAAUUGAUCUUGAGCUAUUGUAAAAUGGCAUUUCGAGAUACCAAUGUCUGGUCCACCUCAUUCAUAGAAGAUGCUCCAACUUGAUAGUUCAGAAUACUUGGUGGUGGUCUUCCAUAGAGAGCUUGAAAAUGGGUCAUCCCAAUAGAGGAGUGGUAUGUAGUGUUGUACCAAAAUUCAGCCCAUGGAAGAAAAGCACUCCAUUUUCAAGGUUGUUGAGAAACAAAACAGUGAAGAUAUUGCUCAACGCACCUGUUAACUACCUCAGAUUGACCGUCGAUUUAGGGAUGAUAGGCAGAGCUCAUGUGCAGCUUAGUACCCAACAUUUUGAAGAAUUCACACCAAAAGUGACUUAUGAAAAUGGGAUCUCUGUCACUAAUAAUUGAUUUUGGCAAGCCAUGAAGCUUGACAAUCCCUUCCACAAAUUUUUUAGCUACCAUUUUUGCCGUGUAAGGAUGUGACAAAGCUAAAAAAUGAGUUGAUUUACUCAGGCAGUCCACUACCAUAAAAAUAGUGCUUUUUCCAUUAGAUGGUGGUAAUCCCUCAAUAAAAUCCAUGGUGAUGUUGUCCUAAACUUGGAAAAGAAUGGGCAAUGGUUGAAGAAGACCAGCUAGAGAUAAAGUUUCUGUUUUAUUCUUUUGGAAAACAGUGCAUGAGGUUACAUAUUGUUGAAUCACCUUAUGCAUUGAUGGCCAAUAGAAUUGUUGUGUCAAUCGCUUGUAUGUUCUCAAUACCCCAGAAUGUCUUUCAUAUGGUGAGUCAUGGAAUUCCUGCAAUAACUGAUUGAAAAGUUGGGAAUUAGGAGGAAUUACUACACGAUUUUUGUAACAUACCAAACCAUUCUGCCACUUAUAGGGUGCUCCAGGAUUUGCAGUGGCAAGCUUGCCAAUUCGGACCAUGUAGGGAUGCUUGUUGGCUUCCUUCUUGAUUGCGUUCCACAAAGAUGUUAGAGAGAUAAAAAGAGUAUUAAGGUUGGGGUUGCCUAUUACUCUUGAUAAAGCAUCAGCAACAAAAUUCUCUCUUUCCGGUUUGUAAGUGAUCUCAUAGUCAUACCCCCCAGCAAUUUGGAUACCCACUUUUGUUGUUCUUGCGUCACUAUGCGUUGCUCCAUUAAAUACUUGAGGUUGUGUUGGUCAAUUUGGAUGUAGAAUUUUUAGCAUAAUAAGUAAGGCCACCAAGUCCGAAUAGCUUGAACAAUGGCAAGCAUUUCUUUGGCAUAGGUAGACCAUGAUUGCUUAGUGAUUCCCAAGGCUCGACUCAUGAAUGCUAUGGGUCUCCCUUGUUAAGUUAGCACUGCUCCAAUGCCAGCACCUGAAGCAUCAGAUUCAAUGACAAAUGGUUCAUUAAAAUUAGGCAUAGUAAGGGUAGGAGUAGAAGUCAUUGUUUGUUUCAAAGCCUUGAAUGCAUCCUUUGCUUCUUCUGUCCAUCUAAAUUGCCCAUUUUUUAAGAGGUUGGUGAGUGGCCGAGCUAUAAUUCCAUAAUUGCGUACGAACUUUCUGUAAUAACCUAUAAGGCCUAAGAAUCCUCGCAAGUCAGAAACAUUAGUGGGUCUAGGCCAAUUAAGCAUAGCCUUAAUUUUCCCUUGGUCCACCUUGACACUUUGUGGAGUUACAACGUAACCCAAAUAUUCAACUUCUUGCUGGCCGAAAGCACACUUGCCAAGCUUGAUGAAAAAUUUGUGAUGCCUUAAUAUUUCAAAAGCCUUUUUAACAUGUUCAAUAUGCAUGAUCCAAUUGGGGUUUUAAAUUAGAAUAUCAUAAAAAAAAAAAAUAACAAAUUUUAGAAGAUAUGGCCGAAAUAUUGAAUUCAUAGUAGCCGGAAAAGUUGAAGGAGCAUUACACAAGCCAAAAGGCAUAACCACAUAUUCAUAAGGACCAUUGUGUGUACGAAAGGCAUUUUUGUGAAUGUCUAAUGGGUGUACCCAUACCUGGUGAUAACCUGAUCAGAGAUCAAGGUUAGUAAAAAAAGGUUACCCCAUAUAGUUCGUCAGGCAUAUCAUCAACGGUUGGAAUAAGAAAUCUAUCCUUGAUGGUUAUAGCAUUAAGAGCUCUAUACUCAAUACAAAAAUGCCAAGUUCCAUCUUUUUUUUUUACUAACAGAACAGGUGAAGAGAAUGGACUUGUGUUAGACCUUAUUAGCCCCAAUUUUAACAUGUCAUGAACUUGUUUUUCUAUUUCAGCUUUUUGAAAGUAGGCAUACCUAUAUGACCGGACAUUAAUUGGCUCAGUCCCCUAUAUGAGAUUGAUGUGGUGAUCUAUCUCCCUUUCUAGUGGAAGCUUCUUUGGUUCCUGAUAAAUGUCAUCCAAUUCUUGUAACAACUGUUGCAUUUCUAGUUGAAUUCUUUGAGGCACUUCUUCCAUGGUUGCAUGUAAACAGACGGCGAAUAUGGAGUUUCCCUGCUUUAUCUCUUUUGAAAUUGUUGUGAAUUUCGUAGGCUGAAUUGGUUGGUUGUCAAUUCUUUCUAGUUGAUGACGCUGGUCCUUCCACGAAAACUCUAUUGUCAUUAUUUUCUAAUCACAAACCACCAUGCCCAAUUGUUCAAGCCAGUAGACUCCUAACACCAUAUCCAACCCAAUCAGCGGUAAUGAAUAAAGAGUUAAGGUAGAUGGAAUACCUUGCAAUAGGACUGAAACAUUUUCAAAUCUCUCUUGGCACUUUAGAGGAUCACCAUUAGCCACUUUCACGUUAAAGGGUUCAAUUGGCACCAUCGGUAAUUGCAAUAGUUCAGCUAUCCUCUCAUUGAUGAAAUUGUGGGUUAACCCACUAUCAAUAAGAACAAUCAAUUCAUGGGGUCCCACUUUAGCCGAGACUCGCAUGGUUCUGGCUGUUGACCACCCAGUGAGAGCAUGGAGUGAAAUUUCAGGUUCUCCUUGAAGGUGGGUGUGAGCUUCCUCUUCGUCAUAGUUUUCUUCAAGCAAGAGCAGUUGUAGUCCUUUGCAUUUGUGCCCUGGUGCAAAUUUCUCAUCGCAAUUAAAACAAAGGCCUUGAGCACGCCUCCUCUGCAUCUCAACCCAAGUGAGUCAUUUUAUUGGUGAAAGGGUCUUCAUUUUCAUUGAAGAAGAGCCAAUAGUGGUCCUACUAAAUGGACGUGUAGUCGUCUCAUGAUAGUUCAACUACUCAUCUCGCAUCCUAGCCAAACUGAUGGCUUCCUUCGAGGAUUUUGGCUUAAACAUCCGAAUCCCAUCUGCUAUUUCAGUUUUAAGACCUCCCAUAAAUGUGCCAACCAAUGCCUUUUGAGUUCACCCCUGAACUCUAUUCCCCAAUCUCUUAAAUUCCCUUUGGUACUCACGUAAGGAUCCCGUUUGUCUUAUUUUUUAUAAAGACUCGUCAAAGUCUUCACAAUCUGUUGGACCAAAGUGAGACCAUAAUUCCUUUACAAAAAUGUCCCACGUCACCUCUUUCCCUUCCUCAUGAUAAGCCCUGCGCAACCACUACCACCAUUGAUUUACCUCCCAUUCCAAAUGAAAGGAAGCCAAAGACACCUUGUGUUUCCAAAGUGCCCUGGUAUUCAAAGAAUUGGUCGACACACGUAAACCAUUAUGUUGGGUCAUCACCAGAAUACUUGGGAAAUUCAAGCUUGGCCAACUUAGAGGAAAACAUUGGUCGUCCCCUUUUUGUGUUUUCACGAGAACGGCCAUAAGAAGAUUGUCCGCUGCGUUCAUUGACGUUGCUAGAGGUUGGUUCUUGCCUUGUACUCAAAACUUCAGAGAUCUUACUGAUAGCAUUCUCUAGCUGAUGUAGUUUGUCAUUAACACCCAGCUCCAUUAUUCUCAAAUUAGCUUGAAGCCCCCCAAGACCCACUUCUAAAUUCUCGAUUCUUUCUUUGUUAAUGGCCAUAAUGUAUAGCUCUUAUACCACUGAUAGGUGGUCCCAGUCAAAGCUAUAAAGAAAAAAAAAAUUCUUUAAAAUAAUAUUCUGCUUGAGGUGAGAAUGAACCUUGUGAUUUUAUUAUCUAUCGUCCCUUUAUCCUCCAUGGCUAAAAUGAUUAAAAUACAUAAAGAACUCAACUACUCCACUAAACAAAAGGAGUGAACGACUAGUGGACAAUAAAAUGACCAACAAUAGUGGAAUUAUUCUUUCCACUUAUUGAUCGAUUCCUAUGCAAACAAAAUAACAUAAUAACAACUUAUUGACCAUUGACUGAUUCCUAUGCUGCAAACAAAAUAACAUCAUAAUCUACCAGCCCAUGGUCCCAUGCUCAACCCCUAUACCUUGGAUUCUUAAUAGGCACUCGAGUUGAUCUUCUUAGCUUAUCAUAUACCAAUAAUGAUGGAAUGAAUGAAUUUAAGGUUUUUAGGAUUAGGGAAUGCGAGAAAAUGGGUGGGGUGUCGUUAGGCGUGGGCAUGCAGCACCACGUAGCGGACAGUAAGUCUUAGUUUCUGCUCAUCUCAGGGACCCAAAAUGAUGGAUGACAUCAAGAAGACAUUUCAUGCAGAUGUUUUGGGCUGAGAGCUAUAGACAAAUAUUCCGCAUAAGUCUCCUAGACGUAGCCUUGCAUCCAAAUCCUGGGUAGAUUAUCUUCCUUUGACAAAGAGGGGCAAGGGUGGUUCCAAAAUUGACCCAACAAAUGUGGGAUGCCAAGAACAUAAUGCAUGUUGCUGAUCCAUGACAUGGCCACUAGCUGACAGCCUCAACGUUGUUCCGUGGCAAGAUGAGCAGCUAAAGGAGGCCUUGGAAUUGUUUGAGAUAAUGCGAUAGUAGGAAAAUCCAUUAUAAUAAGCCAAUGGGUUUGCAGAUGUGUCAAAGGCAUAGCAUGUGAUCCCAACAUUGGCACAAAUAAUGGUAAGCUAUAUGAAUAGAUUGCAAAGGCUGAAGUACCGUUGAUGAUCCAUUCAAGGCAGGCAUUGAAUAAGGUCCCCAGAUUGCACUUUCUUGGUUUGAUUAGUAUGGAACCUUAAAAAAUGGGCAGAUGUUUCUAAGGAAUGAUGCACGAAAAACCACCUUAUAAGGACUGAUGAGCAGGAUACACUAGGGGCUUUGUUUUUCCUACUCUACCACCUACACCUUGCACCCCAGAUCCACACUCGUGCAUGGUCACUUCUGGCAUGCAAUCCCGACGGCCACAUGUCAUCCUCUCGUUUCUUUUAUCUUUUGAUGUUGAAAAUUUAUUUUAAUUUUUAAAAAUUCCAUUUUCAAAAUUCUAAUUUUCAAAAUUUUCAUUUUCAAAUAAUUUUCCAAAUUUCUAAUUUUCAAAUUUAAUUGUCAAAAUUUCCAUUUUCAAAUAAUUUUCCAAAAUUCCAAUUUUCAAUACUUCCAUUCUCGAAUAAUUUUCCAAAAUUCCAAUUUUCAAAACUUCCAUUUUCAAAUAAUUUUUCAAAACUUUCAUUUUCAAAUAAUUUUUCAAAAUUCAAAUUUGCAAAUUUAAUAUUUAAGAAAUCUUAUUCUCAAAUAAUUCUUCAAAAUUCCAAUUUUCAAAACUUCAAUUCUCAAAUAAUUUUCCAAAAUUCCUAUUUUCAAAUUUAAUUUUUAAAACUUCUAUUUUCAAAUAAUUUUUCAAAAUUCCAAUUCUCAAUUUUAAUUUUCAAAACUCCUAUUUUCAAAUAAUUUUUCAAAAUUGCAAUUCUCAAAUUUAAUUUUCAAAACUCUCAUUUUCAAAUAAUUUUUCAAAUUUCCAAUUUUUAAAUUUAAUUUUCAAGAUUUUAAUUUUCAAAACUUUAGGUUUCUUUCAAAUAAUUUUAAUUCUACUCCAGUUUUCAAAUAUUUUUAAUUCUACAACUUAUCAUCCUCCUUAAGGAUUAAGGUCACUAAAAAUCCCGUUUUUAAAUAACCUUGCUACAUUUCUCUUCAUGUAAGCACUUUCACAAAUUUUCUUUGAUUUUCAAAUAAUAUUUUAUUUAUUUUGAUUUUAAAUAAGUAUGAAUAUAAUUUUCAUAAUUCCAAAACAAUGGAAUUUGUGAGAUCAAUUCAUGCAAAAUCAAUUGGGCUUUGGUGAGGGUCUUAUAUAUGAGUUUUCUCUUCUAAUUGUCAACUAUUAUGCUUAAUGAAUAUUGUUUGACCUUUGUCUUACUUUUUGAUAUGCCUAUGAUAAUUUUAUACUUGAUCUUACUUUAUUUCUAUGAUAGCGCACUAUUACUUGUUGCUAAGGUGCGAUCUCAUUCUCACUUUGCUUAUUCUUAUGCAUGAUUCAUUUUAUUAUUCGAUCAUUUCAUUGAUAUCCAUUGAUUUCCUUAUCAAUUGUUACACUUGCUUCACCUUAUUUAGUAGAGAUCCGCUUUUAGGAACUUAGAGCGGUGCUAUGGUCUUUUUACUAUACCUUCCCAAUAAGUAACCUAACCCCCGAACUCGACUUUGGUUUUCCACAUAUUGUCUUUUCCAAAUAAGGAGUCACACUUAGGGUUUUCUUUCUUAUUUUACUUUCCCUUAAAAAAAUAAAACAAAAAUAAGUGGCGACUCUAAGUCUUUUUCAAAAAAUCAAAAUUUUCACAAAUAAAAAGUGAGUCUCAUCAUCAAGUGGGAACACAUUGAGCAAAAUGUGAGGUCCACAAUUAUGUAUACUUUUUAUCAUAUUAUUUAAUAAUUGUUGUCAAAGUAACAGCAAUGACAAUAAAAACUAAAUAACUAGUACAUCUUACUAUCUAUAAUGGUACUUUUAGUUACUAAUAUUGUUACUUUUAAAUAAAAACAACAUUAUUAUCUUCAAUGACAUGUUUAAUAUAAAAACUGAAGUAGUGAUGAAUGAUGAAUAUGAUAGUACAUCCUGCAAUCUACAAUAGUACUUUUAGUUACUAACAUUGUUACAUUUUAGGUAAAACUAAUGUUAAUCUCUCAAGUGGCAUAUUUGAUCUAAAGGUUGAAAGUAAUGGGUGAUGUGAUAGCUACGUACCUAGGGUACAAUCAAGUGUACCUAUUAGCUUAUCUUGUAUAGGUGGUAGCCCAUCUUCAACUAGUUGAAGGGUAGUCUUGAAAGCAUGCACAAAUUACUAUUCUAGUACAUGAUUUAUUAAUUAUUUUUUCCAUAAUAUACUUUCCGUGAAACCCACCUUUUUAGGUUAUGAAUUCAUCCAUAUUUUUCAAACUAUACACCUUGAUAUGAUUCCACCUAAAGAAAUAUAUACAUCAUAUUUAAGUUGAAUUGUUCACACAUUUGCCCUAUUUUUGGUGUGUGAUUUCACUUAUAUUGGCCUUAGGAUAUAUUUCAGGCUUUCCCUUACCUCUUUUCACAACGGAGAACCUUGUGUACAUCCCUUAUAAAAUAUGUACAUCAUGUAUAAAUGCGAAAACCCAUAUCCAAAAUAGGCCAAAUGAGUAAAGUACAUGUGAUAUACUUGUUUUUAGAUGGGAUUUACUUGUUUUUUUAAAUGGGAUGCACCUAUUUUGGUAAUAAUGUUCAAGUAUAAAGCGUGUCAAGCGAGAGAUGUGAGCAUCAUAAAUGCAUACCUAGGAAGUGGAAUACAAUUUACUUAUUUUUUUUAUAAAGAGGAUGCAUUCCUACGUACUUUUGAAGUGGAUACACUUAUUUUUCAACAUGGUGUCUUUAUUUUUGCAAGGGUGAUAUAAAUUUUAGUGAUAGUGUCAUCUAAAUUUUAAUCAUCUCUAAAUAUUUUAUUUCACAAAGGUGUGUGACGAACUUUAUUAAUAUAUUACUUCUAAAUUUAUAUUGAGAUCAUCAAUUAUAUUAAAUAAAAAUAUACUAUUCAACAUAAAAAUUUCUAAAGCCAUAUAUUGAACCUUAAGAAAAAAAAUAGAACCUAUUUCUAACAUGCAUUUUAAUUAUCACUAUGAGAUUAUGGAAAAUAUGCAUGACUUUUAAAAUUUAAAAUAAUAAGAAUAGAAAGAAAUUUAAUGACAAAAAAAUGUUAUUUAUAGAUUAUAUAAAAAAUAGAGGAAAAUAAAAUACUAAUUUUUAUUCAUAAAAAAUUAGAAAAGAAAAUUAGUUUUUCCAAUUGAAUUACUUGUUUUUCAAUAGAUAAUAAUAAUAAUAAUAAUAAUUUUUUUUUUACUCAAGUGUUUAUAUACUUUUUUAUUCCUAAAAAUUAUAAAUUGAAUAUUUAAAAAAGCUAAGAAACUUAAUUUUUUUUUCUAUUGUAUUGUAUGUUAUAUUUAAUUUGUACUUAUUGAUUAUCUAUAUUAUCAUUUUGUACUUAUUGUAUUAGGAAAACAAUUAAAAACCAAUAAAUGUGAAAAGAUAAAAUCUUAAAAAAUUGAAAUUUAAAAAAAUUAGAAGAAAAACUUUAGUUACUUCAAUAUAUUAAGAGAAAAGGUAUCAUGAUGUGAUGUGAGAGAAAAAAAUACAAAAAGAAUACGAUGUACAAGGAUAAAAAAAAAAGUGAGAGAAAAAAAUACAAAAAGAAUACGAUGUACAAGGAUAAAAAAAAAAAAGGAAAAGACACUCAUUUCUUUAAUUUCUUUUUAAUUAAAAAAUGUACUUUUUUUCAUGUCACAUAAAAAAUUUAAAAUAUUAAGAAUUUAAAAAAGAAUAAUUAUCAAAUUUUUAUUUAAUUACUAUUCAAGUGUAUGUCGAGAAAAUAAUUUUAACCACUUUGUGUUUGACAUAAAAGGUAACCGUUGAAGUUCUUAAAAAUAAUUUUAAAUAUCAUUCUCCCUAAAUGACAUUAGAAUGUGUGAUAUUCGUGAUUAAGAAUCUUAUCUGAAUAUUUAAAAGAAAUUAUAUGUAACCUUCAAAAAUGAAACCUCAAAGAGCUUACUGCUAUUUCUUUUAGAGGUCAAAUAGUAUAAUUAAAGACAUGCUAAAUUAUAAGGGAAAUUUUAGGACACAAUUGUUGAAAGCAAGAACUAUAAAGCUAUGAACUCACACAAAUCUGGAAUAACAUCCCUAGUUUUAUUGAACACUUACUGGUGGCUUAUAUAGCCUUACAAGAUAAGAAAUUAGAAAAACAUUGCAGCCCACGUCUUAUACCUAAAGACAUGGUAUUAGUUACUGAAAGAGUCAAAACCUAUCUACUGGUUCCUAACUAAUAGGAACUUAUUAACAGAAUUUUGACAAAGCCAAACCUUAACAGAAACAAAUAAAUCCCAACAAUAAUUCCUCCCCUAAACUGAAGUAGUAUGCAUUCAGUUUAAGUUUGGUACCUCACAUACCCCAAGCUUCUCACGCAACUUCAAGAACACUUCAAGCUUCAGUGGCUUUGUCAAGAUAUCAGCCACUUGAUCAUUGGUUCCACAAUGAACCAACUUCACCACUUCCUCCUUAGUGAGAUCCCUCAAGAAGUGGAACCUCACAUCUAUAUGCCUGCUCCUACCAUGCAUAACCGGAUUCUUGGAUAGCUUGAUUGUUAAACUGUUGUCACACAUAAUAGUAGUACACUUACUCUAUGAGUGCCCAAUCCUUUCUAACACUCUCCUCAUCCAUAUACAUUGACAAGCAUAGAAAGUUGUUGCCACAAAUUCUGCUUCAGUGGUAGACAGAGUCACCACUGGUUGCUUCUUUGAGGCCCAAGAAACUGCUCCUCCACUCAAUAAAAACACAUAACCAGAUGUGUUCUUCCUAUCAUUAGUGUCUCCAGCAUAAUCGAUGUCAGUGUAAGCCAAUAGUUCUCCAACAUCUUCUCCUCUCUUAUAAAACACACCCAACUCCACAGUUCCCUUUAAAUAAUGAAGAACUCUCUUUGUUGCUUGUAUAUGUAGGUCAGUAGGAUUGGCCAUAUACCUGCUCAAGAGACAUACUACGUACAUUAAAUCAGGUCUUGUUGCAGUAAUGUACAUGAGACUCCCAAUUAAUUGCUUAUAAAUUGUAGCAUCAAUCCUGGUAGCUUCUCCUUCCUUUAAUAGCUUGAAAUCAGGCACAAUAGGAUUCUUCAUGGAAUUGGCAUUUUGUAAACCAAACUUCUCAUGUAAUUUACAAGCAUACUUCUUCUGACUUAAGUAGAUACCCUCUGAAGUUUGCAAAACUUCAACACCAAGGAAGUACUUCAUCUUCCCUAAAUCCGUCAUAUCAAACUCAUCCUUCAUGGAACUCUUGAAGCUUUCAACAUGCAUGCAUCAUUCCUAGUAAAGAUUAAGUCAUCCACAUACAAACUCACAAUUAAGAACCUCUUACCUCCUUCUUCUGUUUUGACAAAGAGAGUGUGCUCGUAACCACAUCCUUCAAAGCCCUCCUUGACAAAAUAAGCUUCAAUUCUGCUAUACCAAGCACGUGGUGCUUGCUUCAACCCAUAUAAUGCCUUCUUAAGCUUGUAGACCUUUUCUUUAAAUUUUAUUUUAUUUUAUUUUUUGGUGGAAAUUGUCUCUUAAAGAGAUGAUUUCCAAUUACUUUUUUUUUUUUUUGACGGUUUUUUUGGUGAACUUUUGGAAAGACGAUUUUUUUUAAAAAAAAAAAAGGUCAUAAAUUGUCUUUUGAAGGGACAUUUAAAUAUAUAUAUAUAUAUAUAUAUAUAUAUCCUUCCCUCAUACCUCGCAAAAACUACCGUAAAUUUGGAAUUAUUUUUCUUACUACGGUAAUUUAAGAAUUAUUUUUUAAAAUUACCAUACUCUUAUAAAAUAUCUGAAUAAAGGAUAGGAAAGAGGUACCAUAGGAUUUUUUAUAAGACUAUGAUAGUUUUAAAAAAUAAUUCCUAAAUUAUUGUAGUAGGAAAAAUAAUUUCAAAUCUACCGUAGUUUUGUCCAGUUAGGAAAGAGAAAAUAAAUUGUAAGUGAAAAAUUGUCUCUUCAAAAUACGAUUUAUGAACUUUUAAAAAAAUUAUAAAAAAAAUCGUCUUUCCAUGACACGAUUUCAAAAAUAAAAAAUAAUAUAUAUAUAUAUAUAUAUAUGAGAAAUUCUUACUUAAAAAAAAAAAAAACUAAGUAGGAAAUUGUCUCUUUAAUAGACAACAACAAAAGUGAGAAAUUCUCACUUAAAAUAAAAUAAUAAUAAUAAUAAUAAAAUAAAAAAAUCUCAAGUGGAAAAUCGCCUAUUUUCCACACCACUUCUAAGAGUGAGAAAUUCUCACUUAAAAUAAAAAAAAACCCCUUCAAAAAUCCACUUUUUCAUUCUUUAUUCUAUUUAUACAAUAAUACAAUUAUUAUAAAUAUAUGUUAUAAAAUUAAUUAAUUUUAUUUACUAAAUUUAAUAUAAGAUAAAUAAUCUAUUAUUUUUUCUCUUACUUUGGAAUUAAAAAAAAACUAUUAUUAAUUUAAUAAUAAUUUUUUUAAAACUCAAUUUUCACAUAAAAUUGAUAAUAGUUUUUUUUAAAUUCCAAAGUGAAAGAAAAAAAUAAUAUGUAAAUAUUAUUUAUUUUAUAUUAAAUUUAGUGUAUUAUUUAUAUAUUAAAUUUAGUAAAUAAAAUUAAUUAAUUUUAUAAUAUAUAUUUAUAAUAAUUGUAUUAUUGUAUAAAUAGAAUAAAGAAGGGAAAAAAUGGAUUUUUUAAGGUUUUGUUUUUGUUUUUUUUUUAAAUGAGAAUUUCUCACUUUUGUGCUGCCUACUUGGGUUUUUUUUUUUUUAAUUUCUGAUUUUUAUGUGGAAAUUGUCUUUUUUUAAGAGACGAUUUCUCACUUAUUUCUCAUGUGAAAAUCUUCUUUUUUAAAGAGGAUUUCUCAUUUCUUAAAUUUUUUUGAAAUCGUCUCUUAAAGAGACGAUUUCUCAUAUAAAAAAUGAAAUUUUAGAAAUCGUGUUUUGGAAAGAUGAUUUUUUUUUUUAUAAUAUUUUUAAAAGUUCAUAAAUUAUCUUUUGAAAAGACGAUUUUUUAUUUAUAAUUUAUUUUCUUUUUUUACUUGGAUAAAACUAUGAUAAAUUUGAAAUUAUUUUUAUUGCUACACUAAUUUACGAAAUAUUUUUUAAAACUGUCGUAAUCUUACUGAAAAUCCAUAUACCUGAUGAUGGACUAGGUCAGAAGCAGAAAGAAGAAAUCAUAGCCCGGUAUGGCCACUCCAAAAAUCCUAACGACACGCAACUUCCUCUCCUCACCCAGAGGCGGCUUCCUCUGUUUCUCCACAUGGAUGACUCCACCCACCUCCCACUGCCACGACCCAAUCCUCACAACCAUUUCCGAGGCCAUCAAGGUCUCACCAACGAAGCCUCUCCACUCCUCUCUCAAGCGUAUCCUGCCUUCACUCACGCCCAAUCACCUCAUCGAUCUAAUCAACCUCAACCCACACUCCCUCUCCCCACCCUCUCUUCUCUCCUUCUUCAAAUGGCUUUCCACUCAACACCACUUUCGCCUCUCUAUUCACUCCUACUGCACUAUGACCCACUUUCUCU